This 497-nucleotide ribosomal RNA is filed under the name uncultured bacterium. RNAcentral's name for it is "partial 16S ribosomal RNA". It matches the Rfam family "Bacterial small subunit ribosomal RNA", at positions 28 to 507 of the family's 1533-position model. The record is from RNAcentral.
GAUGAACGCUGGCGGCGUGCCUAAUACAUGCAAGUCGAGCGAACAGAUCAGGAGCUUGCUCCUCUGACGUUAGCGGCGGACGGGAGAGUCACACGUGGAUAACCUACCUAUAAGACUGGGAUAAUUUCGGGAAACCGGAGCUAAUACCGGAUAAUAUAUUGAACCACAUUGUUCAAUAGUAAAAUACGGUUUUUCUGGCACUAAUAGCUGGAUCCGCGCCGCAUGAGCUAGUUGGUAAGGUAACGGCUUACCAAGGCUACGAUGCGUAGCCGACCUGAGCGGGUGAUCGGCCACACGGGAAGUGAGACACGGCCGAGACUCCUACGGGAGGCAGCAGUAGGGAAUCUUACGCAAUGGGGGAAAGCCUGACGGAGCAACGCCGCGUGAGUGAUGAAGGUCUUCGGAUCGGAAAGCUCUGUUAGUAGGGAAGAACAAAUGUGUAAGUAACUGUGCACGUCUUGACGGUACCUGAUCAGAAAGCCACGGCUAACUACGUG